This 279-nucleotide unclassified non-coding RNA is filed under the name uncultured fungus. RNAcentral describes it as "sequence contains ITS1". The stretch from base 1 to 107 matches the Rfam family "5.8S ribosomal RNA", at positions 50 to 154 of the family's 154-position model. The record is from RNAcentral. Lineage: Eukaryota; Fungi.
GAAAUGCGAUACUUGGUGUGAAUUGCAGAAUCCCGUGAACCAUCGAGUCUUUGAACGCAAGUUGCGCCCGAAGCCAUUAGGCCGAGGGCACGCCUGCCUGGGUGUCACACAUCGUUUCCCCAACGCAAACAUGUAACAAUGUUGCUGCGCGGGGUGUAUGCUGAAACCUUGUAUAUAAACUAGUUCCGAUAACCGGGUUGUUGUAUAUAUCAUCAUGUAUAUACACACUAUCUCUUCUCCUUUGACCUCAAAUCAGGCAAGAUUACCCGCUGAACUUAA